RNAcentral lists this small RNA (127 nucleotides) under Marmota monax (woodchuck). The record is from RNAcentral. Lineage: Eukaryota; Metazoa; Chordata; Mammalia; Rodentia; Sciuridae.
GCCGGGUGUGGUGGCGCAUGCCUGUAAUCCCAGCAACUCAGGAGGCUGAGGCAGAAGGAUCUAGAAUUCAAAGCCAGCCCCAGCAAUUUAGUGAGACUUAAGCAAUUCAGUGAGAACCUUAUCUCUA